GGUGCGGUACGCCAGUGGCGAGCGGCCGAUUUUAGGGGUCGGUGUUUGAGAGUUCGAGUCUCUCCCGCACUA
RNAcentral lists this transfer RNA (72 nucleotides) under Pirellulaceae bacterium. Its description in RNAcentral is "tRNA-Leu". It matches the Rfam family "tRNA". Rfam says of the family: Transfer RNA (tRNA) molecules are approximately 80 nucleotides in length. The record is from RNAcentral. Lineage: Bacteria; Pseudomonadati; Planctomycetota; Planctomycetia; Pirellulales; Pirellulaceae.